CCCUUAGAGUUUGAUCCUGGCUCAGAUUGAACGCUGGCGGCAGGCCUAACACAUGCAAGUCGAGCGGUAACAGGGGAGCUUGCUCCUGCUGACGAGCGGCGGACGGGUGAGUAACGCGUGGGAAUCUGCCCAUUGGUGGGGGAUAGCCCGGAGAAAUCCGGAUUAAUACCGCAUAAUACCUGAGGGUUAAAACGGGGGAUCAUUAGACCUCGUGCCGAUGGAUGAGCCCGCGUCAGAUUAGCUAGUUGGUAGGGUAAAGGCUUACCAAGGCGACGAUCUGUAACUGGCCUGAGAGGGUGGUCAGUCACACUGGAACUGAGACACGGUCCAGACUCCUACGGGAGGCAUGCAGUGGGGAAUAUUGGGCAAUGGGCGCAAGCCUGACCCAGCCAUGCCGCGUGUGUGAAGAAGCUUUCGGGUUGUAAAGCACUUUAAGUUGGGAGGAAGGCUGCUUAGUAAUACCUAAGUAGAUUGACGUAACCAACAGAAUAAGCACCGGCUAAUCCGUGCCAGCAGCCGCGUAAUACGAAGGUGCGAGCGUUAAUCGGAAUUACUGGGCGUAAAGCG
This 567-nucleotide ribosomal RNA is filed under the name uncultured bacterium. RNAcentral's name for it is "bacterial SSU rRNA". It matches the Rfam family "Bacterial small subunit ribosomal RNA", at positions 1 to 567 of the family's 1533-position model. The record is from RNAcentral.